Long non-coding RNA from Eucalyptus grandis, 782 nucleotides. RefSeq lists it as uncharacterized. The transcript is spliced from 6 exons. Lineage: Eukaryota; Viridiplantae; Streptophyta; Magnoliopsida; Myrtales; Myrtaceae. The record is from RefSeq and is a predicted model, not a curated record.
AGAAGAAGAGAGAGGGGAGAAGGGAUCUCCAUUCAGUUCCCGAGAGAGAGAGAGAGAGAGAGAGAGAGAGAGCGCAAGAAUGGUGGCGAGAAUGAGAGCGAGGCUGUCAUGUGAGUAAAAGAUGAAACCUUUAGAUACGUUUUCUUGGCUCAUGAGAUUAGUUCCAGCAUAAGCACUACCGGACAGAGUGGCAGAUUCAUGUUGCUGGUGUGAGAAACUGUGGAACUCUUCCUCAAAAUGGAUGCUCUCCAUCUGCAUGUACUUUCCAAGCACGAAGUCAUUGCUUCUGGAACUUCAGUUCAGUUAGAAAAAACCUGGCCAAGAUCGUCUGGCUCCACACCAAAUGUCAAAGGUCAGUUGGGUUUUCUUUGUCUUAUUAGUUAUCAGAGACAAUUAUAAGGAAUUGUGGAGACAUUGUUCAUGUGCAUGUAGCUGGGAGAGAAGUUCUUCAUGAGAUGGUGAAAAUAGUGAAGAAGAAGCCCGAUAUCCAUGUCAAAGAGAAGAUACUGAUCUUGAUAGAUACUUGGCAAGAAGCUUUUGAAGGACCGAGGGCUAGAUAUCCUCAAUAACAUGCUGCCUACCAGGGGUUGCUGCGAGCAGGAGCAGUGUUCGCUCAGAGAGAGGAGGGUCCUGCGCUGGUUUUUAAACCUCCACAGACACAGCCUCUUUCAUCAUAUCCGCAAAAUAUCUGCAAUGCUGAUAUCCGGCCAGAGCCAUCUGAGUCUUCUGCUGAGUCUGAGUUUCCCACAUUGAGCUUGACAGAAAUACAGAAUGCACGGGGA